GAGACUUUGGUACAAUUGGUAGUACGUAUGACUUUUAAUCAUUAUAGUGUUGGUUCGAAUCCAGCAAGUCUAU
RNAcentral lists this transfer RNA (73 nucleotides) under Clonostachys rosea f. rosea IK726. It matches the Rfam family "tRNA". Rfam says of the family: Transfer RNA (tRNA) molecules are approximately 80 nucleotides in length. Their secondary structure includes four short double-helical elements and three loops (D, anti-codon, and T loops). Lineage: Eukaryota; Fungi; Ascomycota; Sordariomycetes; Hypocreales; Bionectriaceae. The record is from RNAcentral.